This 2905-nucleotide ribosomal RNA is filed under the name Escherichia coli. Its description in RNAcentral is "23S ribosomal RNA". It matches the Rfam family "Bacterial large subunit ribosomal RNA". The record is from RNAcentral. Lineage: Bacteria; Pseudomonadati; Pseudomonadota; Gammaproteobacteria; Enterobacterales; Enterobacteriaceae.
GGUUAAGCGACUAAGCGUACACGGUGGAUGCCCUGGCAGUCAGAGGCGAUGAAGGACGUGCUAAUCUGCGAUAAGCGUCGGUGAGGUGAUAUGAACCGUUAUAACCGGCGAUUUCCGAAUGGGGAAACCCAGUGUGUUUCGACACACUAUCAUUAACUGAAUCCAUAGGUUAAUGAGGCGAACCGGGGGAACUGAAACAUCUAAGUACCCCGAGGAAAAGAAAUCAACCGAGAUUCCCCCAGUAGCGGCGAGCGAACGGGGAGCAGCCCAGAGCCUGAAUCAGUGUGUGUGUUAGUGGAAGCGUCUGGAAAGGCGUGCGAUACAGGGUGACAGCCCCGUACACAAAAAUGCACAUACUGUGAGCUCGAUGAGUAGGGCGGGACACGUGGUAUCCUGUCUGAAUAUGGGGGGACCAUCCUCCAAGGCUAAAUACUCCUGACUGACCGAUAGUGAACCAGUACCGUGAGGGAAAGGCGAAAAGAACCCCGGCGAGGGGAGUGAAAAAGAACCUGAAACCGUGUACGUACAAGCAGUGGGAGCCUCUUAAUGGGGUGACUGCGUACCUUUUGUAUAAUGGGUCAGCGACUUAUAUUCUGUAGCAAGGUUAACCGAAUAGGGGAGCCGAAGGGAAACCGAGUCUUAACUGGGCGUUAAGUUGCAGGGUAUAGACCCGAAACCCGGUGAUCUAGCCAUGGGCAGGUUGAAGGUUGGGUAACACUAACUGGAGGACCGAACCGACUAAUGUUGAAAAAUUAGCGGAUGACUUGUGGCUGGGGGUGAAAGGCCAAUCAAACCGGGAGAUAGCUGGUUCUCCCCGAAAGCUAUUUAGGUAGCGCCUCGUGAAUUCAUCUCCGGGGGUAGAGCACUGUUUCGGCAAGGGGGUCAUCCCGACUUACCAACCCGAUGCAAACUGCGAAUACCGGAGAAUGUUAUCACGGGAGACACACGGCGGGUGCUAACGUCCGUCGUGAAGAGGGAAACAACCCAGACCGCCAGCUAAGGUCCCAAAGUCAUGGUUAAGUGGGAAACGAUGUGGGAAGGCCCAGACAGCCAGGAUGUUGGCUUAGAAGCAGCCAUCAUUUAAAGAAAGCGUAAUAGCUCACUGGUCGAGUCGGCCUGCGCGGAAGAUGUAACGGGGCUAAACCAUGCACCGAAGCUGCGGCAGCGACGCUUAUGCGUUGUUGGGUAGGGGAGCGUUCUGUAAGCCUGCGAAGGUGUACUGUGAGGUAUGCUGGAGGUAUCAGAAGUGCGAAUGCUGACAUAAGUAACGAUAAAGCGGGUGAAAAGCCCGCUCGCCGGAAGACCAAGGGUUCCUGUCCAACGUUAAUCGGGGCAGGGUGAGUCGACCCCUAAGGCGAGGCCGAAAGGCGUAGUCGAUGGGAAACAGGUUAAUAUUCCUGUACUUGGUGUUACUGCGAAGGGGGGACGGAGAAGGCUAUGUUGGCCGGGCGACGGUUGUCCCGGUUUAAGCGUGUAGGCUGGUUUUCCAGGCAAAUCCGGAAAAUCAAGGCUGAGGCGUGAUGACGAGGCACUACGGUGCUGAAGCAACAAAUGCCCUGCUUCCAGGAAAAGCCUCUAAGCAUCAGGUAACAUCAAAUCGUACCCCAAACCGACACAGGUGGUCAGGUAGAGAAUACCAAGGCGCUUGAGAGAACUCGGGUGAAGGAACUAGGCAAAAUGGUGCCGUAACUUCGGGAGAAGGCACGCUGAUAUGUAGGUGAAGUCCCUCGCGGAUGGAGCUGAAAUCAGUCGAAGAUACCAGCUGGCUGCAACUGUUUAUUAAAAACACAGCACUGUGCAAACACGAAAGUGGACGUAUACGGUGUGACGCCUGCCCGGUGCCGGAAGGUUAAUUGAUGGGGUUAGCGGUAACGCGAAGCUCUUGAUCGAAGCCCCGGUAAACGGCGGCCGUAACUAUAACGGUCCUAAGGUAGCGAAAUUCCUUGUCGGGUAAGUUCCGACCUGCACGAAUGGCGUAAUGAUGGCCAGGCUGUCUCCACCCGAGACUCAGUGAAAUUGAACUCGCUGUGAAGAUGCAGUGUACCCGCGGCAAGACGGAAAGACCCCGUGAACCUUUACUAUAGCUUGACACUGAACAUUGAGCCUUGAUGUGUAGGAUAGGUGGGAGGCUUUGAAGUGUGGACGCCAGUCUGCAUGGAGCCGGCCUUGAAAUACCACCCUUUAAUGUUUGAUGUUCUAACGUUGGCCCCUGAUCGGGGUUGCGGACAGUGUCUGGUGGGUAGUUUGACUGGGGCGGUCUCCUCCUAAAGAGUAACGGAGGAGCACGAAGGUUGGCUAAUCCUGGUCGGACAUCAGGAGGUUAGUGCAAUGGCAUAAGCCAGCUUGACUGCGAGCGUGACGGCGCGAGCAGGUGCGAAAGCAGGUCAUAGUGAUCCGGUGGUUCUGAAUGGAAGGGCCAUCGCUCAACGGAUAAAAGGUACUCCGGGGAUAACAGGCUGAUACCGCCCAAGAGUUCAUAUCGACGGCGGUGUUUGGCACCUCGAUGUCGGCUCAUCACAUCCUGGGGCUGAAGUAGGUCCCAAGGGUAUGGCUGUUCGCCAUUUAAAGUGGUACGCGAGCUGGGUUUAGAACGUCGUGAGACAGUUCGGUCCCUAUCUGCCGUGGGCGCUGGAGAACUGAGGGGGGCUGCUCCUAGUACGAGAGGACCGGAGUGGACGCAUCACUGGUGUUCGGGUUGUCAUGCCAAUGGCACUGCCCGGUAGCUAAAUGCGGAAGAGAUAAGUGCUGAAAGCAUCUAAGCACGAAACUUGCCCCGAGAUGAGUUCUCCCUGACUCUUUAAGGGUCCUGAAGGAACGUUGAAGACGACGACGUUGAUAGGCCGGGUGUGUAAGCGCAGCGAUGCGUUGAGCUAACCGGUACUAAUGAACCGUGAGGCUUAACCUU